Molecule: ribosomal RNA, 193 nt
Filed under: uncultured bacterium
Lineage: Bacteria
Description: partial 16S ribosomal RNA
Rfam family: Bacterial small subunit ribosomal RNA
Source: RNAcentral
UACGGGAGGCAGCAGUGAGGAAUAUUGCGCAAUGGGGGCAACCCUGACGCAGCGACGCCGCGUGGAUGAUGAAGGCCUUCGGGUUGUAAAAUCCUGUCAGAUGGGAAGAAGUGCUAUAUGGUUAAUAUCUGUAUAGUUUGACGGUACCAUCAAAGGAAGCACCGGCUAACUCCGUGCCAGCAGCCGCGGUAAU